CCUACGGGAGGCAGCAGUGAGGAAUAUUGGUCAAUGGACGGAAGUCUGAACCAGCCAAGCCGCGUGCAGGAAGACGGCUCUAUGAGUUGUAAACUGCUUUUGUACAAGGGUAAACCUGAAUACGUGUAUUCAGCUGCAAGUACUGUACGAAUAAGGAUCGGCUAACUCCGUGCCAGCAGCCGCGGUAAUACGGAGGGUCCAAGCGUUAUCCGGAUUUAUUGGGUUUAAAGGGUGCGCAGGCGGAUUGAUAAGUGAGAGGUGAAAUGUCCGGGCUUAACCCUGGAACUGCCUCGAAUACUGUAGGUCUUGAGAGUAGAUGCGGUAGGCGGAAUGUAUGGUGUAGCGGUGAAAUGCUUAGAGAUCAUGCAGAACACCGAUUGCGAAGGCAGGUUACCAAUGUAUAUCUGACGUUGAGGCACGAAAGCGCGGGGAGCAAACAGGAUUAGAUACCCGGGUAGUC
This 460-nucleotide ribosomal RNA is filed under the name uncultured bacterium. Its description in RNAcentral is "partial 16S ribosomal RNA". It matches the Rfam family "Bacterial small subunit ribosomal RNA", at positions 338 to 795 of the family's 1533-position model. The record is from RNAcentral.